Scylla paramamosain (green mud crab) is the source of this 564-nucleotide long non-coding RNA. RefSeq lists it as uncharacterized. NCBI's taxonomy places the organism in Eukaryota, Metazoa, Arthropoda, Malacostraca, Decapoda, Portunidae. The record is from RefSeq and is a predicted model, not a curated record. The transcript has 3 exons.
AAAGCCACCUUGCGCUGCACUAAGUAAUCAUAUGAUGAGAUAGCUACAAGAAGAUGCUCCUAAAUCAUAGAAAUUUAAGUUGUUGAUCGAAGAAAAUAAUAUAUUGGUGGCAUGUACCAGCAACAGACCAGCGAGGAUGAGAAAUGGUGCGUGGCAGUGGUGAGUGGUGACCCUGGCCAGUCUUUGCUGGGGUGGUGCGUGAGGCGGAGUGAUGCAGGGCGCGCUGGUGCCUGUGAAGGACUUUUGGCACAGAAAUUUCGUAUCGUCAGCAUUGAGAGUUCGAAAGCAGCUGCUGGACAUGACGGAGCAGAAAUCCCACGUGUACCUCGGUGGGAUCCAGACCAUGCACUACAAAACAUUCCAAGACAAGAUAGGACUUCUAGGAAUGCUGGAAACUGUAGUAGGGGAUGUGGAACCCUUCUGUGGGAGGAAAGCCUUCAGGUUGUUGAGAAAUGAGCCAAGAAUCUUCAGGGAGACCGCAUCAAACAGUAUGCUCAACGCUAACACCUAUAGAUAUGUGAGUAGUAGUAGUAGUAGUAAUAGUAGUAGUAGUAGUAGUAGUAG